CUUUCCAGAGAUGAAAAUACCCACCUCUUUUUGCUUGCGUGCUUGAGGGCUAUAUAAAGAUCUGCACCUUUAUAUAGACAGUUAUUUAAAUAGCACAGAUAUCUGGAGCAGCGAACCCAACACAAAACUCCCUGCUCAGUAUUUCUUCUUCUCACCCCAGGGUUGCGUUUAGCCCUCCAUUUCUCAGCUUCAGUCCCACCUGCCUCCUGCUGCUCUCACCCUGUUAAACUCGCGGGCUGCAGAAGGGAGCCCGAGGCUGCCCCGACCCUGAGCCUGGGGCGGGGCUGGAGACAAGGCCGCAGGCCCAUGGCUGUUUCAACACACCUUGCAGAUCCUCCCUGAGAAACUAAGGAUCAGCGGUGCUUCUCUUGUGCAACCUGUGCCAUGGCGCAGGAUGGAGCCUGGGGUCUCCAGCAUGGUACAGACCACUGAGAGCAUGUGAAAGCUUGGGCAAGCAUUCCCAAAAUGCCUUGCUGCUGAAGAAGCAGGACGUAUGCCCAACCAUUCCCACAGUGGCUCUGCCCACUGCCCUGGAAAAAAACACUCUUCUUUCAUUGGGUCAGAAAGUCCUUGCUGGAGUCCCACUUGUCCAGGAAGGCUUGAAUAAUGCCCAAGGAAAUCAACAGCAAACUCCUACAGGGCAGAAGAGAACUCCAGGAGAUAAAAUAUGGAAAACCAGAGUAGUCCUGUGGUUACAUGAACAUUUUUUCUCACCAAGAGCACUGGCUUCUGUAGCUCCUGUUGCUGUUGUGUGUUGUUCUCCCAUUGUGAGCUGUGCCACUGCCCUUUGUCGUACUGAUACAACUCUUCUCAAGGGCCACAUGGUUGAGUGGAACCAGGAACGAAUCCAAAUUUAGAAACUUUUUUUUUAACUACUGCCUGUAAAUUCAAGAAACUGGCCAAUAACAGUCUCUCACUCUUCUUAAGCAGUCCCUGAAGUCAAGAAUUAGUAUGUGGUUAGGAGUGAAAAACUAGGUAUUUUCCAGGAAUCCAGAGGAACAAUUUAUUUUGAGAAGCAAGUAUCAUGAAUUUAAAAAUGUAAAUGGGAGGGAGAAUUAGGGGAGAAGCUCUAAUAUACUAGAAACCUCACAAUUCUUCUGGAUUUCAGCUAUGCUUCAUUGCAUUGAUCUUGUAUAUUAAAUCGUUUAAUCCAUCACCUGCCCAGUGCAAGAAGAGAUUAGUAAAUGAAUGGGAUCACUGACACUGGCAAUUAAUAACAUUGUUCUAUUUAUAGUGCUACAAGCAUGUGUAGGAGGGAUCGCUAGGUGUAUUUUACACAGGUAAGAAGAACCAGAUAACAUUAUGACUAUGGGGAUAGGUGCUUUGUAACUCUAAGUGAGCCUGAUGUCACAAGGAUCCAAACAGACAGUGCCCAGAUGAUUUAGCAUCACAGAAACCCACUACAAGCGUUAGGACUCAGAUUUCCAUAGUGCUGAGCAUUUCCUGGAAAAUGUUGAAAAUCCUCAUUCUUUGAACGGCAGCUGAGGGCUUCCAGCACAUUUGGUGAGGUGUGAAAAGUAGCUUUUAAUAAUAGGCCUACGAGGGUGGGAAAGUAAUACAAUAGGACCCCCCCCUCCCCCGACCUUAAAAUACAAAGCUGAGGACUUAUCUCAAGGAAUGUGUUUGCCCUCCUCCUCCUUUUGUUUCCCCAGAUCUUUCUGAUUGCCAGAUUCCUCAGCUGGAAGUGUCCUGAUCAAUAAGAAAAAAACUAUAAGGAAGGAAAACUUUCAAAUGCCAUCUUCACUGCCUCUAAUCCAUCGUGUGACCACAAUGGUUAUAUCACUGUUACUGAGGGUUUAGAACAACUUUGUUACCAGGUGUUCAUAAAAUAAGAAAUAAAAAAGGCCUUUUCUCU
RNAcentral lists this long non-coding RNA (1855 nucleotides) under Apteryx rowi (Okarito brown kiwi). RNAcentral describes it as "lncRNA (ENSARWG00000001498.1)". The record is from RNAcentral. Lineage: Eukaryota; Metazoa; Chordata; Aves; Apterygiformes; Apterygidae.